UACGAAGGGGGCUAGCGUUGUUCGGAAUUACUGGGCGUAAAGCGUGCGCAGGCGGCUUCUCAAGUCAGGGGUGAAAGCCCAGAGCUCAACUCUGGAAUUGCCUUUGAGACUGAGUGGCUUGAGUACGAGAGAAGUGAGUGGAAUUCCCAGUGUAGAGGUGAAAUUCGUAGAUAUUGGGAAGAACACCGGUGGCGAAGGCGGCUCACUGGCUCGUAACUGACGCUCAUGCACGACAGCGUGGGGAUCAAACAGG
This 253-nucleotide ribosomal RNA is filed under the name uncultured bacterium. RNAcentral describes it as "partial 16S ribosomal RNA". It matches the Rfam family "Bacterial small subunit ribosomal RNA", at positions 524 to 776 of the family's 1533-position model. The record is from RNAcentral.